GUGGGGAAUUUUGGACAAUGGGCGCAAGCCUGAUCCAGCAAUGCCGCGUGCAGGAAGAAGGCCUUCGGGUUGUAAACUGCUUUUGUACGGAACGAAACGGUCCUGGUUAAUACCCGGGGCUAAUGACGGUACCGUAAGAAUAAGCACCGGCUAACUACGUGCCAGCAGCCGCGGUAAUACGUAGGGUGCAAGCGUUAAUCGGAAUUAAUGGGCGUAAAGCGUGCGCAGGCGGUGCUGUAAGACAGGCGUGAAAUCCCCGGGCUUAACCUGGGAAUUGCGCUUGUGACUGCAGUGCUGGAGUGCGGCAGAGGGGGAUGGAAUUCCGCGUGUAGCAGUGAAAUGCGUAGAUAUGCGGAGGAACACCGAUGGCGAAGGCAAUCCCCUGGGCCUGCACUGACGCUCAUGCACGAAAGCGUGGGGAGCAAACAGGAUUAGAUACCCCUGUAGUCC
Molecule: ribosomal RNA, 450 nt
Filed under: uncultured bacterium
Lineage: Bacteria
Description: partial 16S ribosomal RNA
Rfam family: Bacterial small subunit ribosomal RNA
Source: RNAcentral